RNAcentral lists this transfer RNA (84 nucleotides) under candidate division BRC1 bacterium ADurb.Bin183. RNAcentral describes it as "tRNA-Leu". It matches the Rfam family "tRNA". From Rfam's summary of the family: Transfer RNA (tRNA) molecules are approximately 80 nucleotides in length. Their secondary structure includes four short double-helical elements and three loops (D, anti-codon, and T loops). Further hydrogen bonds mediate the characteristic L-shaped molecular structure. tRNAs have two regions of fundamental functional importance: the anti-codon, which is responsible for specific mRNA codon recognition, and the 3' end, to which the tRNAs corresponding amino acid is attached (by aminoacyl-tRNA synthetases). tRNAs cope with the degeneracy of the genetic code in two manners: having more than one tRNA (with a specific anti-codon) for a particular amino acid; and 'wobble' base-pairing, i.e. permitting non-standard base-pairing at the 3rd anti-codon position. Lineage: Bacteria; Candidatus Sumerlaeota. RNAcentral also lists the same sequence under 2 other names. The record is from RNAcentral.
GCGGGUGUGGCGGAAUGGCAGACGCGAUGGCCUUAGGAGCCAUUGGGGAAACUCGUGGGGGUUCAAGUCCCCCCGCCCGCACCA